Molecule: non-coding RNA, 21 nt
Filed under: Caenorhabditis elegans
Lineage: Eukaryota; Metazoa; Nematoda; Chromadorea; Rhabditida; Rhabditidae
Source: RNAcentral
UGGUCUGUGGUAAGUCACUGU